UGAGGAAUAUUGGUCAAUGGGCGAGAGCCUGAACCAGCCAAAUCGCGUGAAGGAAGACUGCCUUAUGGGUUGUAAACUUCUUUUAUACAGGAAUAAAAAAGGGGACGUGUCCCUUAUUGCAUGUACUGUAUGAAUAAGCAUCGGCUAACUCCGUGCCAGCAGCCGCGGUAAUACGGAGGAUGCGAGCGUUAUCCGGAUUUAUUGGGUUUAAAGGGUGCGCAGGCGGGCUUUUAAGUCAGCGGUGAAAUCUCGGGGCUUAACUCCGAAACUGCCGUUGAAACUGGGAGUCUUGAGUAUGGAUGAAGUAGGCGGAAUUCGUUGUGUAGCGGUGACAUGCUUAGAUAUAACGAGGAACUCCGAUUGCGUAGGCAGCUUACUAAGCCAUAACUGACGCUCAAGCACGAAAGCGUGGGGAUCAAACAGGAUUAGAUACCCUGGUAGUCCACGCCGUAAACGAUGAUUACUAGUUGUAUGCGAUAUACCGUAUGUGACUAAGCGAAAAGCGAUAAGUAAUCCACCUGGGGAGUACGCCGGCAACGGUGAAACUCAAAUGAAUUGACGGGGUCAUAGCUG
Molecule: ribosomal RNA, 573 nt
Filed under: uncultured bacterium
Lineage: Bacteria
Description: partial 16S ribosomal RNA
Rfam family: Bacterial small subunit ribosomal RNA
Source: RNAcentral